Molecule: transfer RNA, 78 nt
Filed under: Acidobacteriota bacterium
Lineage: Bacteria; Pseudomonadati; Acidobacteriota
Description: Acidobacteria bacterium tRNA-His
Rfam family: tRNA
About the family: Transfer RNA (tRNA) molecules are approximately 80 nucleotides in length.
Source: RNAcentral
GCCGGGAUAGCUCAGCUGGCUCAGAGCGCCUGACUGUGGAUCAGGAGGUCACGGGUUCGAAUCCCGUUCCCGGUACCA